This is a long non-coding RNA of Anolis carolinensis (green anole), 1926 nucleotides long. RefSeq lists it as uncharacterized. Lineage: Eukaryota; Metazoa; Chordata; Lepidosauria; Squamata; Anolidae. The transcript has 3 exons. The record is from RefSeq and is a predicted model, not a curated record.
UGAUGAUGAUGAUGAUGAUGAUGUGCCCGUCUUUUGAAAAGCAUCUAGAUUUAUUUGAUCAGAACAUAUGCUAACACUUCUCUUUCUUACAUUGUUCAUUUAUGGUAACAUUCUCUAAGAAAUGGAAUGAUCUAGACACAAGGAUAAUGGCUGAACCCUAUUAUGCUUGAUGAAAAUCUCUCCCUGUUCCCUUCUUUUCGUUCCAUAUGAACUUGCUUAUAACGCUUGUGAUGAAAACAGUUUUGUGAUGCAAAGUGAAUUCAGUCCAUGCUGCUACUUUCCACCUGAUGCUUAUACACAGAACGUUAUUUGGCAUAAUUCAAAGUCAUACUUAUGGCUUUUUCCUCACCCUGGUGAUGCUUUCUCUCUCUCUCUCUCAUGAAUAAACUCAUGAUUAUUGCUUGCCUCACAGGCAGCGCAUAAUGGCUGACCAACCUUCUCACCUUUGAAAAUGACUGGAGAAGAGACAUCAGAAAUGGAAAAUAUUUCUCCUAGAUCACAGUAACUGUCCUCAGCUGCCAAUGAGGCAACAGCAUUUAAGAACAUAUGCAGGCAAAUCUCUGGAAUUUCCCUGAAUUCGGAAAUGGAUCUGCCUGGUGAUAUUUGAGAAAUCAGAUUUUGCCAGCUGCUGACCCGCAUCUUCAGUCAUUAGACCAACUACUGAAAAGAUGGAUGACAGUGUCCAAUACGCCAAAGUCUGAGUAAUCUCUCAUUUGUUCUUUAAAAAGCAACAAGUUGUGUGAAAUGGGCAACAAAAUGGCAAAUAUUGAAUCUGAUACAAACCCCUUCACCUCAAACCUUAAUCAGACACAAGAUUGUAGUACUGAUUUAGAGAUUGUGUGUGUAUCUAUAUAUAUCUCAAAAAUUUUACGGUUAGUGGCCACACUUUGUUAAUGGCAUAUGCAAUUGUAAGUCCACUUUACUCCUGUGUAUGUCCUGUUGUGAUUGUGAAUGUUGGUGUUUUCUUCCAUCCUACGCAAUAACCAAUGCACCACAAAUAGCCAUUCCAUGGCUGGUGGGGAAGACAUGAGAAUACUGGAGAGGUGCCUGGCUAGAUUCCACAGCCAGGUACAAAUGAAUGACAUCAUAGUGAAUCUUGAUGGAAGCUUUGUCACAUGUUUCUCCAGUGCUCCCAACCCCACUCUCCACCUGCUACAGAAUGGACAUACAUGAGAACUAGUUCAGAAAAACAUUGAGUCCUUGGGUUGCAGAGUGGGAAGUUGUAGUCGAAUACUGUCUGUGGAACUCUUAUCUUCUCUGGGCAAGAUAGGAUUUCAGUUUGGGUCUCAGUAUUAUUCAUUGCAUGGAGUUUUGCAUUCUUCCAAACAGCAUUCAUGAAGAGUCAAUUGAUUCUUUCUAGUGAAGAUACCUAGCAGAUUUUCAUGAAGAGAUUGCCUUAUAUGGGAUAGACCCUAGAUCAGUGAUGGAGCAAAUGCUUUGAAUGAGAAAGUCCACAGUAGCUAAUGUAUCCCAUGACAGUGAGGAAAAAUACCCAUUCCAGGUUUUGGCCAAGAAGUGAUUUACUAUCCAAGGUGUUGACCUUUUUUAGAAAUAGGAUUCAAGGGAUUGGAGAGCUUCUUUAAAGCCUGGAUUAAACUCUGGAAUAGAUUCACCACUCCAUAGGCAUAGGAACCACUGGCCACUUCUGAAAAGGCCCAGGUUUAAUCAAUGGCAUUGACUGGAAAUGGCUGCUGUCCAAGGGGACUGCAGUCAAUCAGGCUAGCUGGCCACUAGACAACAGGGAAUUAAAUGGAGCAAUGGUCUGAUUUUGUGCAAGAUAACUUUGCUAUAAGUUUGCUUUUAAUUAGUAUUUGCUUGGAUACAUGAACAAAAUAAUGAUGUCUGACUCCCCGUAUUACAAAUACAAAUUCAUAACCUAGUGUUAUGCAUCCACUACUGCUCCGUAUUCAGUUAUACUAUGUUUUU